UGGGAACAAAAGGAUCUUAAGGGAGCGCUAGAAAUUUUUGAAAAAAGAGUAAUAGAACACUUAGAGGAGUUGUUGUAUCAAAGAUGGAAAAAAUUAGAUAAAUUAUUAGAAGCGCAAAUAGAAAGGUCAAUCUCAUUACCAGAGAAUUCUUAGAGUAAUGGCAGUGAGAGGGAAUUGCUGAAUAAAAAAGGAGAGACAAGGGAUUUUGAUGUUAAGGAGCAGACUGACCUUUUUAAUGAUGCAGCAUUUCUUCAUGGCAAUGGAGACAAGGAAGAGGUUGAUAUUGUUGGGGAUGGAGAAGCAGAAAAGGUUGAUAUUAUUGAUGGAGAGGAGAUUGCCUCGGAUAAAUUAGAUUCAAUUAAAAAAUGGAAACAUCGCUAUUGAAGAUUAAGACAACAUACCUGUUGAAGUUGAGAAAGUAACAAUUGAUCCACAGCUGGGAUCAGUAGAAAAAUACAAAGAACAAUUUGGUGCUGAGAUGGAGCAAGAUUUUAUUGUUAAUAUGUCCAGUAUAGGUGAGAUACAUGAGGAUGGUGAUGAUGGCCAACUAGAGUCUUCAAUGGGGAAAAUAAGAGUUGAAUCUGAAAUAAUUGCACAUUUCAUUCACAAAACUGAACUUUUUGCUAAAGAACUUCUUGCGAAUGUUUUUGAAAACAAGAGACAUAAAAGUGUUUCAAAAAGUGUGAGUCUUAGAAGCAAGUGGCAGUAUUUGG
Molecule: unclassified non-coding RNA, 713 nt
Filed under: Hevea brasiliensis (rubber tree)
Lineage: Eukaryota; Viridiplantae; Streptophyta; Magnoliopsida; Malpighiales; Euphorbiaceae
Source: RNAcentral